This 321-nucleotide long non-coding RNA is filed under the name Citrus maxima (pomelo). Its description in RNAcentral is "long non-coding RNA (CMAX_LNC002818)". The record is from RNAcentral. Lineage: Eukaryota; Viridiplantae; Streptophyta; Magnoliopsida; Sapindales; Rutaceae.
GCUUGUUCACGUAUGGUCUAAUUGAAAAUCCAAUAAUUCUGAUGAGUUGGCUCUACUGCAGUUUGGUUGACAUAGUGUAUCAAAUUAAAUUGUUUUCAACUUGUAUCCUUAGACGAGUAAAAUUGGAAUGUAGCCACUUGUAGAUAGCCUUCCUUUUGAGAUGAAGUGAAAUUAGCCUGCCUUCCUUUUGAGAUGAAGUGAAAUUAGCCUGCCUUCCUAUUGAGAUGAAGUAAAAUCUUGCAAGAUAUCAUUGUAUUUGUGUAUGUACACUAAAAUUUAAUUCUCUUUGCUUGCUUGCCUAGCCUCAGAAAUGGAAAGCCA